Molecule: ribosomal RNA, 818 nt
Filed under: uncultured Actinobacillus sp.
Lineage: Bacteria; Pseudomonadati; Pseudomonadota; Gammaproteobacteria; Pasteurellales; Pasteurellaceae
Description: bacterial SSU rRNA
Rfam family: Bacterial small subunit ribosomal RNA
Source: RNAcentral
CGGACGGGUGAGUAAUGCUUGGGAAUCUGGCUUAUGGAGGGGGAUAACUACGGGAAACUGUAGCUAAUACCGCGUAAUAUCUUCGGAUUAAAGGGUGGGACUUUCGGGCCACCUGCCAUAAGAUGAGCCCAAGUGGGAUUAGGUAGUUGGUGGGGUAAAGGCCUACCAAGCCGACGAUCUCUAGCUGGUCUGAGAGGAUGACCAGCCACACUGGAACUGAGACACGGUCCAGACUCCUACGGGAGGCAGCAGUGGGGAAUAUUGCACAAUGGGGGGAACCCUGAUGCAGCCAUGCCGCGUGAAUGAAGAAGGCCUUCGGGUUGUAAAGUUCUUUCGGUGAUGAGGAAGGUGUUUGUUUUAAUAGAACAAGCAAUUGACGUUAGUCACAGAAGAAGCACCGGCUAACUCCGUGCCAGCAGCCGCGGUAAUACGGAGGGUGCGAGCGUUAAUCGGAAUGACUGGGCGUAAAGGGCACGCAGGCGGUGACUUAAGUGAGAUGUGAAAGCCCCGAGCUUAACUUGGGAAUUGCAUUUCAUACUGGGUCGCUAGAGUAUUUUAGGGAGGGGUAGAAUUCCACGUGUAGCGGUGAAAUGCGUAGAGAUGUGGAGGAAUACCGAAGGCGAAGGCAGCCCCUUGGGAAUAUACUGACGCUCAUGUGCGAAAGCGUGGGGAGCAAACAGGAUUAGAUACCCUGGUAGUCCACGCUGUAAACGCUGUCGAUUUGGGGAUUGGGCUUAGAGCUUGGUGCCCGUAGCUAACGUGAUAAAUCGACCGCCUGGGGAGUACGGCCGCAAGGUUAAAACUCAAAUGAAUUGACG